UGAGCGAUGGAUUGGGAUUCAACGAUUGGUUGGAGAUGGAGAUGGGGUUGUGGUUAGAAUUCCUCUUUUGAGACUCCUUGCGCUCGUAAAUGGCGUUCCGAUUGAACCAAUCAAGUUCUUCUUCUUUGAGUAUCUGAAAGGAUUCCGCCGGAAAGUUAGGUGGAGCCUCCUCCGGGGGAUCUGGUUAAUCCGACGGUGAAUGAUGAUCAACGACUAAACU
Telopea speciosissima is the source of this 220-nucleotide long non-coding RNA. RefSeq lists it as uncharacterized. The record is from RefSeq and is a predicted model, not a curated record. The transcript has 3 exons. Lineage: Eukaryota; Viridiplantae; Streptophyta; Magnoliopsida; Proteales; Proteaceae.